Molecule: non-coding RNA, 259 nt
Filed under: Medicago truncatula (barrel medic)
Lineage: Eukaryota; Viridiplantae; Streptophyta; Magnoliopsida; Fabales; Fabaceae
Description: Bacterial small subunit ribosomal RNA
Rfam family: Bacterial small subunit ribosomal RNA
Source: Rfam by way of RNAcentral
UUAAUUCGAUGCAAAGCGAAGAACCUUACCAGGGCUUGACAUGCCGUGAAUCCUCUUGAAAGAGAGGAGUGCCUUCGGGAACACGGACACAGGUGGUGCAUGGUUAUCGUCAGCUCGUGCCAUGAGGUGUUGGGUUAAGUCCCGCAACGAGCGCAACCCUUGUGUUUAGUUGUGAACGUUUAGUACCCUGAACAGACUGCCGGUGAUAUGUAACAGCCCGUUUUCCCAACAUAAAAAUUUCUUUUAAAUAAUCAGAGUA